RNAcentral lists this ribosomal RNA (372 nucleotides) under Triticum aestivum (bread wheat). Its description in RNAcentral is "partial small subunit ribosomal RNA". Lineage: Eukaryota; Viridiplantae; Streptophyta; Magnoliopsida; Poales; Poaceae. The record is from RNAcentral.
AUGGUCCAACUACAAAACUUCUUCUUUUUCAUUACUUCCAUGGUCGUGCCCCGUGGCACGGCAGCACCCGUACUAUUGAAAUGGUUCAUCAGUAGAGAUGUUCCCACUGGUGCCUCUUCUUCAAAUGGUACUAUAAUUCCUAUUCCUAUCCCUUUAUUCCCGUUUUUGUUCUAUCUACAUUUAAGGAAAUUCAUACGCUCCAUGGACAGAGAAAAAAGUGGUGUGUUGGUCAAAGCAAGCCGCCCUAUUCUAUUACUAGACAAAAGGGAGAGAAGCUCAUCGGCUAGAAAUGCUUUACUUCAUUUCGUUCCCGUUCUUCACUUCCUUAUUAUCGAAUCCAUGGGGGACUUGUCAUAUUUAGAAUCUUUCUGA